GACGAACGCUGGCGGCGUGCCUAAUACAUGCAAGUCGAACGCACUCUCGUUUAGAUUGAAGGAGCUUGCUCCUGAUUGAUAAACAUUUGAGUGAGUGGCGGACGGGUGAGUAACACGUGGGUAACCUGCCCUAAAGUGGGGGAUAACAUUUGGAAACAGAUGCUAAUACCGCAUAAAACCUAACACCGCAUGGUGUAGGGUUGAAAGAUGGUUUCGGCUAUCACUUUAGGAUGGACCCGCGGUGCAUUAGUUAGUUGGUGAGGUAAAGGCUCACCAAGACCGUGAUGCAUAGCCGACCUGAGAGGGUAAUCGGCCACACUGGGACUGAGACACGGCCCAGACUCCUACGGGAGGCAGCAGUAGGGAAUCUUCCACAAUGGACGAAAGUCUGAUGGAGCAACGCCGCGUGAGUGAAGAAGGUUUUCGGAUCGUAAAACUCUGUUGUUGGAGAAGAAUGUAUCUGAUAGUAACUGAUCAGGUAGUGACGGUAUCCAACCA
This 498-nucleotide ribosomal RNA is filed under the name uncultured bacterium. RNAcentral's name for it is "bacterial SSU rRNA". It matches the Rfam family "Bacterial small subunit ribosomal RNA", at positions 28 to 485 of the family's 1533-position model. The record is from RNAcentral.